Molecule: long non-coding RNA, 482 nt
Organism: Hyaena hyaena (striped hyena)
Lineage: Eukaryota; Metazoa; Chordata; Mammalia; Carnivora; Hyaenidae
Exons: 3
Source: RefSeq, a predicted model, not a curated record
AAGGAACAGAAGCAGAUGAAAGAGACAGUGGAACAAUCUGCCAAGAAAGGCAAGGGGUAGAGGAGGGAAGACAGGCUGGUGGAGAGGCUGGGGGCUAGUAAUUCUGUUCGCCUACUUGCAAGACAAUAUUACAGCAUGAUGGGAAACCCUGACUGUCAGGAUGGUUUAGAGCUUGGGAAAUUUGGGAAAGAACCCAAGAACAGCACGUGGUAUCGAGGCAUCAUCAACAUGGAGACAAAAAGGAGAGAAGGUCUUGGUUUAUUCUUGGUUGGCAUUUCCUGUGUCUGAGACACUGAGAAGAGAAAUGGGGGGAGGAAGGAUUUUUAAGACUUAAGAAGAGAGAAGAGGCGGUGCCAAAGAGAAAUCUGGCUAACAACAUAUAUCAGGAACCUUAAAAUGCCCAUACCUUUGACAUAGUGGUUCUGCUUCUGGAAGCUGACCCUAAAAACGCUAUCGAAAACAUUAAGAAAAAUCCUUAAGUA